Trachemys scripta elegans is the source of this 1346-nucleotide long non-coding RNA. RefSeq lists it as uncharacterized. Lineage: Eukaryota; Metazoa; Chordata; Testudines; Emydidae. The record is from RefSeq and is a predicted model, not a curated record. The transcript is spliced from 3 exons.
AGCAAUGCUAGCGUCUGAACUGCAGGAACAAAUCAAAGGCUAUGGCUGUAGUUGUACAUCUACUGCAUUCUUCUGGAAAAAUAUCCCGACUUUUGCAUGAUGGGAUAGCCAUUUCCAGCUCAGCUGUAGUAGCCAGCAGAAGAAACUCUAUGCAACUGGAGACCAAGCUCAGUAACCAUGAAUAACGAGAGCCUGAAGACCAUUCUCAGUCCCAGGCUUCAUGCAGACCAAUACAAGGCACUGUUGCAAUACCAUUCCAGUUAAGUUUCUGCCUUACUUUUAAUUAUUCAUUACCAGUCAGAAUUCCUGUAGCUUUCUUAGCAGUUAUGUAUUCCAGAAGCCAAACAAAGAAUAACAAUGAAAGAAUUUGAAUCCAUUAUUUUAGCUAAAUAAUUCUAAAUGCCUCUUAUUCUAAAUUUUAUUUAAAAAUGAAUAUGUGAAUGCAAACUAUUUUUUUUUUGUUCAAUUACGUUAUCACAUAUAAAUUGUGGGUAAAUCAGAUAUUUGCAAAAGUUUUUUCUUAAAAGUUGGAGAAUAGGGCAAGUUUAAAUAUUCACAGAUGUGAAAAUGAGCAUCUAAGCAUUUCAUUCCUCUACUGGGUAAAACAGAGCAGCUGAAUUUUCAUGUCUCUGGAGGGAGCAUGUACCCAGAUUUCAUUAUUCACAGGAGUCUUACAUGAUUCCUCAGACACUGCAAUGAAAAAUAUAUUCCCAGUUGUAUUUCUUAUUAAAAAAUAUUUGUUAAAUGGAGGUUAUUUACCUGUAAGUGAGGGUACCCUCUCUGUAUUCCACACGUGAGUACAUAUGUGCCGCAUGUGCCUGAGACCAGAGGUUUCUAGCAAGUAGUAUCUAUUGGUCUGCAGUUUCUCCCCUCAUGCUGUGUACCAUAGGUAUAAAGUGGCAGUGUAGACCAAUGCCUCUCCAGUUACUCCUCUUAUCCCAAAGCAGAGGAGAAGAAGGGCAGAUAGUGGACUACAGAUCGGGACCACAAAUCUCAAAAAACCUCCGGUUCUUGACAGAACGCUAAAGCCCAUCUGAUGUUGAGAGAAUUAAGUCUCCUCUUCUUGUUGGAACCAUGAUGUUUUGGAAAGAAUACUGGUAAGAGAAUAGGUUCAUGUGAAACUCAGAAAUUACCAUAGGGAUGAAUUUAUGGUGGAGAUGAAGGGGAACCUUCUUAUGAAAUGUGGAGUAAGGCAGGUCAACCAUCAGUGCGCCCAGUUCACCUACUCUUCUGGCUGAUGUGAAAGUGACUAGGAAGGACAGAUGGUACAUUGAACUCAUGGGAAAAAUGUACAGAGAAAGGCAAUGAUUAGGAAUAUGGAACAGCUUCCAUAUGAGAAAAAGAUG